RNAcentral lists this unclassified non-coding RNA (18 nucleotides) under Mus musculus (house mouse). Its description in RNAcentral is "oocyte_clustered_small_RNA7886". The record is from RNAcentral. Lineage: Eukaryota; Metazoa; Chordata; Mammalia; Rodentia; Muridae.
UGGUUUGUGGCUAUUAGA